This 72-nucleotide transfer RNA is filed under the name archaeon. RNAcentral's name for it is "tRNA-His". It matches the Rfam family "tRNA". From Rfam's summary of the family: Transfer RNA (tRNA) molecules are approximately 80 nucleotides in length. Their secondary structure includes four short double-helical elements and three loops (D, anti-codon, and T loops). Further hydrogen bonds mediate the characteristic L-shaped molecular structure. tRNAs have two regions of fundamental functional importance: the anti-codon, which is responsible for specific mRNA codon recognition, and the 3' end, to which the tRNAs corresponding amino acid is attached (by aminoacyl-tRNA synthetases). tRNAs cope with the degeneracy of the genetic code in two manners: having more than one tRNA (with a specific anti-codon) for a particular amino acid; and 'wobble' base-pairing, i.e. permitting non-standard base-pairing at the 3rd anti-codon position. RNAcentral also lists the same sequence under 1 other name. The record is from RNAcentral.
GUCAUAAUAGUGUAGUGGUUAGCAUAGGAGUCUGUGGAGCUUCUGGCCCGGGUUCAAAUCCCGGUUAUGACC